GGGGGACCCACUGUGUCUGGACAUGUCUGGAUGUGUGCUUGUCUGCAGUGGGAUCUCUGCUCGAUGCCCUGCUGCUGAGAAAUCACUGGGAAAAGCCAGGGCGCCCAGUGCUGACCCUCACAGGCUCUCCCAGGGUGCCCAGUGCUGACCCUCAGAGGCUCUCCCAGCACGUUCCCUCUGGACACCCGCACUGCCUGGGUGCUCCCUCCAGCUGUUGCUCCUCAUAAGUUGUGUCAAUACAAAGAGAAAACUCGGCAAGCAGCAACAGUGUGAACGCAGCCACUGCCCGAUGCCAAGAGCUGUGGCAGCUUUGACUUGCAAAGGGAAGAGAGGCACAGACAGCCCCAUAACCGGCUCUGAGAUUGGGUUAGUAGUCCUUAUUCGAGUAUUGACCUGUGGCCACAGCUCUGGGAUCUGAAAUCCCAAAAGGCACUAAAAUCCAAACGUUGUGUUUAUUCAGUUUUUUUUAAAAAAUGGUGGUGAAAUAAACAAUAAAAUACAUUACCUUA
RNAcentral lists this long non-coding RNA (509 nucleotides) under Rattus norvegicus (Norway rat). Its description in RNAcentral is "long non-coding RNA NONRATT007669". Lineage: Eukaryota; Metazoa; Chordata; Mammalia; Rodentia; Muridae. The record is from RNAcentral.